Molecule: ribosomal RNA, 764 nt
Filed under: uncultured eukaryote
Lineage: Eukaryota
Description: SSU rRNA
Rfam family: Eukaryotic small subunit ribosomal RNA
Source: RNAcentral
CUUGUGCCAGCAGCCGCGGUAAUUCCAGCUCCAAUAGCGUAUAUUAAAGUUGUUGUGGUUAAAAAGCUCGUAGUUGGAUCUCAACAGCCUUGAAGCGGUUAACUUUGUAGUUUUACUGCUUUAUAGGCUGUGCUUUUGCUGGAGGUUUAGGGGUGCUCUUGAUCGAGUGUCUCUGGAUGCCAGCAGGUUUACUUUGAAAAAAUUAGAGUGCUCAAAGCAGGCUUUUCACGCUUGAAUAUUCGUGCAUGGAAUAAUGGAAUAGGAACUCGUUUCUAUUUUGUUGGUUUUCGGAAAUCGAGUUAAUGAUUAACAGGGACAAUUGGGGGCAUUAGUAUUCAGACGACAGAGGUGAAAUUCUUGGACCGUCUGAAGACUGACUACUGCGAAAGCAUUUGCCAAGAGUGUUUUCAUUAAUCAAGAACGAAAGUUAGAGGUUCGAAGGCGAUCAGAUACCGCCCUAGUUCUAACCAUAAACGAUGCCAGCUAGCGAUCUGCCGAGUUUUUUUUGUAGGCUCCGCAGGAAGCUUUCGGGAAACCAAAGCUUUUGGGUUCCGGGGGAAGUAUGGUUGCAAAGCUGAAACUUAAAGGAAUUGACGGAAGGGCACCACCAGGAGUGGAGCCUGCGGCUUAAUUUGACUCAACACGGGAAAUCUCACCAGGCCCGGACACUGGAAGGAUUGACAGAUUGAGAGCUCUUUCUCGAUUCGGUGGGUGGUGGUGCAUGGCCGUUCUUAGUUGGUGGAGCUCGAUUUGUCUGGUUAAUU